Molecule: transfer RNA, 82 nt
Filed under: Danio rerio (zebrafish)
Lineage: Eukaryota; Metazoa; Chordata; Actinopteri; Cypriniformes; Danionidae
Rfam family: tRNA
About the family: Transfer RNA (tRNA) molecules are approximately 80 nucleotides in length. Their secondary structure includes four short double-helical elements and three loops (D, anti-codon, and T loops).
Source: Rfam by way of RNAcentral
GUGGUCGUGGCCGAGUGGUUAAGGCGAAUGACUAGAAGUCCAUUGGGGUCUCCCCGUGCGGGGUUGAAUCCUGCCGACUACG